RNAcentral lists this ribosomal RNA (460 nucleotides) under uncultured bacterium. Its description in RNAcentral is "partial 16S ribosomal RNA". It matches the Rfam family "Bacterial small subunit ribosomal RNA", at positions 338 to 795 of the family's 1533-position model. The record is from RNAcentral.
CCUACGGGGGGCAGCAGUGAGGAAUAUUGGUCAAUGGACGAGAGUCUGAACCAGCCAGGUAGCGUGAAGGAUGACUGCCCUAUGGGUUGUAAACUUCUUUUAUAUGGGAAUAAAAUGUUCCACGUGUGGGAUUUUGUAUGUACCAUAUGAAUAAGGAUCGGCUAACUCCGUGCCAGCAGCCGCGGUAAUACGGAGGAUCCGAGCGUUAUCCGGAUUUAUUGGGUUUAAAGGGAGCGUAGGUGGAUUGUUAAGUCAGUUGUGAAAGUUUGCGGCUCAACCGUAAAAUUGCAGUUGAAACUGGCAGUCGUGAGUACAGUAGAGGUGGGCGGAAUUCGUGGUGUAGCGGUGAAAUGCUUAGAUAUCACGAAGAACUCCGAUUGCGAAGGCAGCUCACUGGACUGCAACUGACACUGAGGCUCGAAAGUGUGGGUAUCAAACAGGAUUAGAUACCCCUGUAGUC